AACCAGUCGGUGGCGUCGGUCUGGAAGGGGUU
Molecule: non-coding RNA, 32 nt
Filed under: Geobacter sulfurreducens PCA
Lineage: Bacteria; Pseudomonadati; Thermodesulfobacteriota; Desulfuromonadia; Geobacterales; Geobacteraceae
Source: RNAcentral